RNAcentral lists this ribosomal RNA (486 nucleotides) under uncultured bacterium. RNAcentral's name for it is "partial 16S ribosomal RNA". It matches the Rfam family "Bacterial small subunit ribosomal RNA", at positions 30 to 507 of the family's 1533-position model. The record is from RNAcentral.
AUUGAACGCUGGCGGCAUGCCUUACACAUGCAAGUCGAACGGCAGCACGGGUGCUUGCACCUGGUGGCGAGUGGCGAACGGGUGAGUAAUACAUCGGCACAUGUCCUGUAGUGGGGGAUAGCCCGGCGAAAGCCGGAUUAAUACCGCAUACGAUCUACGGAUGAAAGCGGGGGACCUUCGGGCCUCGCGCUAUAGGGUUGGCCGAUAGCUGAUUAGCUAGUUGGUGGGGUAAAGGCCUACCAAGGCGACGAUCAGUAGCUGGUCUGAGAGGACGACCAGCCACACUGGGACUGAGACACGGCCCAGACUCCUACGGGAGGCAGCAGUGGGGAAUUUUGGACAAUGGGCGAAAGCCUGAUCCAGCAAUGCCGCGUGUGUGAAGAAGGCCUUCGGGUUGUAAAGCACUUUUGUCCGGAAAGAAAUCCUUGGCUCUAAUACAGUCGGGGGAUGACGGUACCGGAAGAAUAAGCACCGGCUAACUACGUG